UGACCACUGAAAAUGACACACUGAAAGGGAAAGUAUGAAGUUGCUGAACAUUACUUUGAGUGGAGAAGUACAUUUAAUUGAGGACCUUAAUGGUAGUGGGGAGAUUCUUUUUUUCCCUUGAUUGUGCACAGAGGAGGCAGGUGAUAUAACAUACUUUAUUACACAUGGGGAGGUGAGACCCUCAGAGGGUUGAAUCAUUCCAACUGAUGGAUGUACUAUCACCAGGCCCGGCUAACAGUGUGUGCUUGAACAGGGAUGGUGGUGACACCCCACAGCUCAGGAAGUCUCUCUGGGCUCUACUUCUCACCUAUGUCCUGAAUGCCCUUGCUCUGGUCAAGAAUACAUGUCCUCUCUUCCACUGCUUGACCCUCAGUUAUGUUCUUUACCCAGCUGCUACCGUCUUCCUGGUUUUAAAUGUAAGUAUGAGCUUUGGCCCCUUUCUUUAUCACACAAAUCAUAAUCUGUGGAGUUUUUCUGUCUCACAUUUGUGCCUUACCCAGGCCUUAGGUCUAAGCCUGCGGGAUACCCACCUAAAUGCAAGAGCUGUUUGAACACUGGUCUCUCAGUCUCUUUCCUACCUCUCAGGCUACAGUGACUGAGUGUGCUGAAGAUUCCUUAAUGGCCAAUAUAACUGACUGAUGUGUCUCUUUGGGAAGCUUCUCCAUACCUCAGACAAGCAUGCACCCAGAGCUUGAAAUCACAGGCGUAUAGACUCGUGCUUUUCGAGUUAGUUCACUAGAAAUAAAGGAGAAGCCUAGGCUUCAGGAGAGUUCAAAAGGCUGGCCGUGUCCUGAAGCUCAGGAGUGCCAUCCAGAGGGGUUGAUCUGAGUAUCACCAAUAGGACCAGGGGCUAAGCAUUUUAACCAGAGCAUCCCAGAACCCCAGGUUGGUGCCUAGAAAUGCAGUAGCAAACAGAGAUCCUGCCAUCCUUUCUUCUCAGUAGGAGUAUUGCUGGUAUCUAGGUUUUCAGAGGGGCUGAAAGAGAGAUAGACAGGGUCUGCCCUCCGGCCAGAAGCCUACGGCCUCCUAGUAGUAGUAGCAGCAGCAGCAGCAGCAGCAGCAUGUAUGGAGGCUCAUGCAGGAAGAGAGGACCAAGGAAGCCAGAUGUGGGCCUUUUCCAGUCCUUCACAGAGAGAAGUGCUUCAUGUGCUUCUCCCCCGCUCACAGGUGAUCCGUUUCUCUCUCAUGACUGAGAUGAUGAUGUAAGGAAGCACUCACAAGGCAGUAAGGAUAGCAGGCAAGAACUGGGGUCCCGGGGCCACACUGCCUGGAUUCCAAGCCUGAUUUUGCAUGCAUGACUUGAGACUUUGGGUAAUUUGCUUAAACUCAUUGUAACUCAGUUUUUUCUUUAUAAAUUGAUGCUUCAUCACGCAACAACUGUUUAUUUGUGCUAAUUAUUUGGGAAGGGUAGUAUUUUGGGAGCUAGGAUAUAGCCAUCAACAAACCAGAUAACAUUCCCUUCCACUGUGCAAUGUUAAGUUCUAGGGGGGCUAUAAGCAGUGCACAAAUACAUAAAUGUCUUCAUGGAGGUAAGAGCUGUGCAGAAAAAUAAAGGAUGGCAAGGGAAUAAGCAGUGGGGUAAAGUAUUUUCAUGAUCAGAACAGUGUUCACUGAAGAGAUGACAUUUGACCAGAGGUCAGAAUGCCAUGAGGAGUAAGCCAUGCAUAUACCUGGAAAAUGGUGUUUCGAUUAGAUUAAACUUCAAGUGCAAACAUCCUGAAGCUAAGGCAUGCCUGAGAUCAUGACAUGAUCUAUUAAAUACAGUUAUUGUGACAUAAAGUGAGUUAGUUCAUUAAAGUAGAGCAUGGUAGAUAAAUAUUUCUUAAUAUUAGGUAUUAGUAUUAUCAGAAUGCUUCAAACUUUCUGGCCCAGCUGGUCCACUUUCACACCUGACCUGAGGCCUCCCUGAUGUUUGGGGACACUGCCACCUGCUGCUGCUUGUUGGUAAACCAUUGAGUGUGAGCAGCAUGUUGAGAAACUGAUGUGGAGUCUGAUCUUCUGCCCUUGGUGUCCCUAUAUCUUGGCUUCUUCUGGCUAGAUAUUCACUCAGCUCCUUAAAUCAACUCUGUUUUCUGCUUUACAUCAGAUUUCUACCAUUAGUACUGCCUAUGUCACCUGUCAAGUGUCAGCUUGCCUUCCAACACAUCCGGGACAAUUGUAUAGGGAGAUGUCUUUAAACACAGAAGACUGCUCUCAGUAUAUGUUACACUAGGGCCUGUGCUCUUGCCAAAUGGCUAUCUUCAUCUUUGAGGCUAAGAAGCCAUGGAGAAAAACAAAGAUACCGAGUUAUGGUGGAGUCUAAUGAAAGAAAAAUGGACCAUCUCCCCCAGAGCUACCACGGCUUCAAUGCAUUCACCGUUGAAGGCUAGUACCUGCUCCCACAGACUCAUGGCUUUCUGAAACAGCUCUGUUGAAUGCAUUUGUAAUUUGCCACUAAAAAAUUAUACUUCCACAUGUUUACAACCUUGUCCAUAUCUGGGAAAGUGACAAGUAGAAAGUUGACCUUCUAGUCCUUCUAGUCUGGCUUUGAUCUGUCUUUGCACACAGUGGUGCUGUUUGGUGUAUGCAGAAGCCUGGGUACCUACAGGAUUUGCUUAGUGAAUAUAUCUUAUAUGACCUUCUGGUCCAUCACACUUUCAUAAUCCCCUAACAUACCAUCCCAUAUUCAAUAACAAUAACAUCAACUACAAUAGACAUUUACCUGAGAUCCUAUGAACAAGUCAUAUGUUGGCUGGGCACGGUGGUUCAUGCCUAUAAUCCCAGCACUUUGAGAGGCCAAGGCAGGAGGAUCACUUGAGGCCAGGAGUUUGAGACCAGCCCAGACAACAUGGCAAAACCCUGUCUCUACUAUGAAUACAAAAAUUAGCCAGGUAUGGUGGCAGGUGCCUGUAAUCCAGCUACUCAGGAGGCUUGACACGCGAAUCACUUCAAUCAGGAGGCAAAGGUUGCAGUGAGCCAAGAUUGCGCCACUGCACACCAGCCUGGACAGCAUAAUGAGACCUCGUCUCAAAAACAAAACAGAUGUUUUGCUAAAAACUUUUUAUCCAUUAUCUCAUUUCAACAUUACAUCAAUCCUGUGUGACCCAGAUACCCCAUAUAUCAGCAGUUGUAAGAUCACACCUCCCAUGAAUAUCCAAACCACAAAAAUCUAGGUCUCCUUUCCUUAUUACUGUCAGAGGUCCAGUGGCUUCUCCAGUUUCCCUUUCAUGAAUUUCUUGGAACCCCUGGGAAAUUCUUCCUGUCCCUAAACAUGGCUAUCUAUGGCAUGUUGGUUUGGGUUUGUGCUGCUGCCUGGCUUUUCUGAAGGUCUCCUCUUCCUGUCCAGAGACUCUUUUCAUUCAGGCAUCAGUUGCUAUUCUCCUAGCACAGCUUUGUCUCAAGUGUAGGCUCAGAUGCUUUCCAUAUUUUCCUACAGUGAUAGGGAAGAUUGAGUUGUAAUGUGUGAGAUAUUUAUGAUGGCUUUGGGGAACAGAAUGGAUUAAUGCACAGAGGACUUGACACUGGUUAUUAGCCAUGGUUACUGUGGGAGUCCUCGGGCUCAAGCCCCUUCUAAAGCCACAGCCUCCAGUGCAUAGAGCUUUUAGCUCCCUCCUUCCAACAUUGCAGGGGUCAAUUUAAAAUGCUGGCAAUUGGAUAUCCCUGAAAAUAUCUCUUGUAUUUUGAGUCCAAAUUUCUUUUUUUUCCAGUCCUAAACAGAGAGACACUUAUCCCAUAUUAGUUAAAAUCUUACCCUUGGGCUCUCUUUUUCCACCUCUGGAUGGGGAGCAAUCUCAUCUCUAUCCACAGGGUCUUACCCUAAGGCCCCCAAUACAUAAAAACACCAUAAACAAACAUAUGGGGACAUUUCUCAAUUUCUAGGUGAUUCCCUGUUGACUCACUGCACAUAUGAGUUCUAAAUACAGCUGUCCAAAUUGAGCCUUGGCAUUCCCAGAUCAGUCCCUUACAGACAUGAGGCUAAGACCAGCUGCCACACCCUCCCUAACACCUGUCAGCCUCUGCUCCCAACCUCCAUCAUGUUUUGUGUUACCCCAUUGAACAGAUAUAACUGCCUUUUGCCACUCACUAUGCACAGAGUCAAUGAGAUUGGAACUAUUAUUAGGCCCAUGUCACAGGUAAGGUCGAUGUCACAUGUAAGAAAACCCAGGUUUAGAAAGGUUAAGUAACUUGCUCAAGGCAGUACACAUUUAUACAUAAAGGGCACCUUGUGUACUCCACUUGCUUUCAUCCAGUGCUGCCCUCUUCAUCAAAGAUAUUUUAUUAUCUCUAGUAAACCCUUAGCUGCUUCGCUAACUACUGCUCUGUCUAGUUGGCUUUCUGGUUUUGGAAGAGGC
This 4331-nucleotide long non-coding RNA is filed under the name Papio anubis (olive baboon). Its description in RNAcentral is "lncRNA (ENSPANG00000047541.1)". Lineage: Eukaryota; Metazoa; Chordata; Mammalia; Primates; Cercopithecidae. The record is from RNAcentral.